RNAcentral lists this ribosomal RNA (301 nucleotides) under uncultured bacterium. RNAcentral describes it as "partial 16S ribosomal RNA". It matches the Rfam family "Bacterial small subunit ribosomal RNA", at positions 509 to 807 of the family's 1533-position model. The record is from RNAcentral.
CAGUCGCCGCGGUAAUACGAAGGGGGCUAGCGUUGUUCGGAUCUACUGGGCGUAAAGCGCACGUAGGCGGAUCGAUCAGUCAGGGGUGAAAUCCCAGAGCUCAACUCUGGAACUGCCUUUGAUACUGUCGGUCUGGAGUAUGGAAGAGGUGAGUGGAAUUCCGAGUGUAGAGGUGAAAUUCGUAGAUAUUCGGAGGAACACCGGUGGCGAAGGCGGCUCACUGGUCCAUUACUGACGCUGAGGUGCGAAAGCGUGGGGAGCAAACAGGAUUAGAUACCCCUGUAGUCCCUGUCUCUUAUAC